UCCCAAGUUUCUCACCUCGUAUGCAAAAGCAUAUCAUCAUUGCUUGCAUGGCAUUGCACAACUUCAUUCGUGAUAGCAAGUUGAGUGAUAAAUUUUUUGAUAAAUGUGAUGCCGAUGAUGAGUAUGUACCUCCGGUGCUACGACGGGAAGUAGCACCAACACAAGCGGAUCCCAUUGAAGAGGAGGAGAACGAAGAUACCAUGAAUACUAUUCAUAGUAGGAUAGCCGAUGCUUGUCUUGCGAUAGCAACAUAGGUUAGCUAUCUUGAUGGAGGUCAUCAUCAUGCGAACUAUAUGUAUAUUCUGUGGUGCAUGCCUUUUGUAACAUAAUUAUGGGGUCAAUAUCUAUUUAUAUAUAAUAUGUAGUAUGCAACUUGAAAGUAUAAUCGUUGAAUUUGUAUGUGUUAGCUGUGAAUCAUCUAAAUUGUCAUAAUUUUUCUUUGCAAAACGGCCGUUCUAUUGCCUGCCAAUGUAUAUAUCACUAUUUUACGGUCAAGUUGCACAUAAAAAUAUUGAAUUAUUGUCCAGGGUCAUUACAGACAAUUCACAGUCAAAUCUGCAGUUUCACGGCUGUUUCAGCCAAACGACUUCCAGCUUUUCCACAACUGAAAGUUCACAACAGCUUUUUCACAGCUCACAGCUCACAGCAGCUUUUACAGAAUCUGCAGCUCAACCAAACACAGCCCUAGGCUGUGUUUAGUUGGACUUCAACUUCCAACUUCUAGGCCCAAAAGCUAUAAUCUGUACCAAAGGGUGUUCCCAGGAAAGCAGAUUCGUAAGAAGUUGCAACUUCUUCUCGUGCAAAUCCCGCAGCCCACAUACCCCAACUUGUCCAGCUUCUCAGCAGACCGUUUUGCUAACUUACCUGAGAGUUGAGGGUUAUUUACCCACCUUUGCCACUCCCUAGUGAAAACGAUUCGCUGCCGAUAAGAAAAAUCUCCUCGUACCAUCGGCAGCAAAAACUCCUCGAGGGAAAAUCCCCUCGUCCCGAGCGACGGGCUAGGGUUUCUAGCCGCCGCCAGCCCUACCGGCCCUCCACCGCCGCCGCCAGCACCGCCUUCAGUGCUGCAGGCUCUCCACCGCCGCCCGAGCUACGCCCCCUACGUAUCCAUCCUCCUCUAAGCAGUACGCCGCCCGCCCAGUGGCCCUUCCUCGCCGGCCGUCCGACACUGUCGACCGGAGCUGCGCAGCCCUCCACGGCGAGGUAGCCUCCGUCGUUACUCCCGCCUUCCUCCUCUUCCAUCCCUGAGUACAGAUUUCUUGCUCGUAGGUGGUGUAUUUGGGAUAAAUUGUGUACAGAUUGACUGACAGUACAGAUUGCUUGCUAGUACAGGUUGCUUGUGCUUCUGUUGUGAGUGGAGCCUAUGUAGUACCUUUCUAACGUGAAUUUAGUUGACAUUGAUUGCUUGCUACGUUCUGCUAUGGAUAAAUUGGAAGAUGUUUACAUAUUAUACAACUAUUAUACAUGUGGCAGGGUAUUAAAAUUAUUUUGCUUGAUUGAAGAAUGACUGAAAAAGCGGUGUGGGAUGAUGCACGUCUGAAGAAAGUCAUAGAAAUAUUCAGAGAAGAGGUUGAAAAUGGGAAUAGGCCCUUAGGUUAUUUUACUAAGAAGGGCUGGGACAAUGUUAUCGAGAAAUGGGAAGCAAGAAUGGGAAAGAAGUAUCCCAAGGAUAAAUUCAAGAAUAAAUGGGAUGCAAUAAAAAAUGACUAUGUGUUUUUCAUGGAGUUGAAAAAUGAAGCAACCAGGCUUGGAUGGGAUGAUGCAAAGAGAACCGUUGUUUGCCCUCAAGAAUGGUGGGAUGAACAUGUUGUGGUAAGUGUAGCAACUUUUUUUAUUUGGCAUGCUUUUCAAUGAUUGCAUUACCUGAUUUCUACUUUCAUUUUCAGAGAUGCCAAGAGAGGACGGGAAAGAAAUGCAAUCAUUUGAAGUUCAAACGAGAGGGUCCGAAGCACCUUGAAGAUUUACAUGUCAUAUUUCACAAAGUACAUGUCACAGGGGCUAGUGCUUCUUGUGCUGGAGAUAUAUCUUCUGAUGAAUCAAGUGAUGAUAAUGCGGUUCCUUUGAAGAAACCCGAUGAUAGUGAUGAAAUGAAGUUGGCAUCUUUGAAGAAACCAAAAGAAAGCAUGAAGCGCAAGCAACCUUCAAUAAAAAAUGAGGAGAAGGAAGAGAAGAGUCCCUUCUUACGAUUGUACAAGCAGACAUGUGAGAAGAUAGAAAGUGGAGUGGAGAAGAUAACCUCUAGUGUUGAAGCAUCAUCGGCUCCUCCUCCAACCAACCUUGUCCCUACCAUUUCGGAGGUUAUGAAGUUGGUGAAAGAUUGUGGUGUGAAAGAAAAAACUGCUCUCAUGCACACAACCCUCACUCUUAUAGUGAAGCCUGACUUUAGGGAAAUCUUUAGUCUUCUUGAAACAAAAGAAGGGAGGCCUGGUUAUCUGGAGAGGGAGCAUCAGAAGUAGAUGUUGAAGCACGUGUUGUGAACCAUAUGUACUCAUGUUGUAGAACUACAUUUGCUUUCAGUGUAGAAACUUAUUUUCUUAUGUUGUGAACCGUAUUUGUUUGUGUUGUGAACCUUAUUUUCUUAUACAAUCAUAUUUUCUUGUGUUGUAAGGGGUCCCAAGUUUCUCACCUCGUAUGCAAAAGCAUAUCAUCAUUGCUUGCAUGGCAUUGCACAACUUCAUUCGUCAUAUCAAGUUGAGUGAUAAUUUUUUUGAUAAAUGUGAUGCCGAUGAUGAGUAUGUACCUCCAGUGCUACGACGGGAAGUAGCACCAACACAAGCGGAUCACGUUGAAGAGGAGGAGAACGAAGAUACCAUGAAUACUAUUCGUAGUAGGAUAGCCGAUGCUUGUCUUGCGAUAGCAACAUAGGUUAGCUAUCUUGAUGGAGGUCAUCAUCAUGCGAACCAUAUGUAUAUUCUGUGGUGCAUGCCUUUUGUAAUAUAAUUAUGGGGUCAAUAUCUAUUUAUAUAUAAUAUGUAGUAUGCAACUUGAAAGUAUAAUCGUUGAAUUUGUAUGUGUUAGCUGUGAAUCAUCUAAAUUGUCAUAAUUUU
This 3047-nucleotide long non-coding RNA is filed under the name Triticum aestivum (bread wheat). RNAcentral's name for it is "long non-coding RNA (TAES_LNC010759)". The record is from RNAcentral. Lineage: Eukaryota; Viridiplantae; Streptophyta; Magnoliopsida; Poales; Poaceae.